This 303-nucleotide ribosomal RNA is filed under the name uncultured bacterium. Its description in RNAcentral is "partial 16S ribosomal RNA". It matches the Rfam family "Bacterial small subunit ribosomal RNA", at positions 507 to 807 of the family's 1533-position model. The record is from RNAcentral.
AGCAGUAGCCACGGUAAUACGUAGGGUGCGAGCGUUAAUCGGAAUUACUGGGCGUAAAGCGUGCGCAGGCGGUUUUGUAAGACAGGCGUGAAAUCCCCGGGCUCAACCUGGGAAUGGCGCUUGUGACUGCAAAGCUAGAGUGCGGCAGAGGGGGAUGGAAUUCCGCGUGUAGCAGUGAAAUGCGUAGAUAUGCGGAGGAACACCGAUGGCGAAGGCAAUCCCCUGGGCCUGCACUGACGUUCAUACACGAAAGCGUGGGGAGCAAACAGGAUUAGAUACCCGAGUAGUCCCUGUCUCUUAUAC